GGUAAUGGUUCUUAGAGCUUGACUGUCAAAUUUAAUAAUAAUUGCAUUUGCACAUUAAGAAGGAAAGGAACUUCUCAACUCCUUGAGCAGACAUACGAUACUACUGCACAUACUCUCACCAGCUACUCUUGAGCAGGCCAGCAAGAGGAGUAAACCGGACGCUCCAUGAAGACCAACGCUGUUCUUGAGUUCCUGAUUUCCGAGUUCCAGUCUACGGUGUCCCAGUCUUCAUGCUUUUCUUGUUAUAUUUCUGGGCUUGAUGGUAG
Pelobates cultripes (western spadefoot toad) is the source of this 266-nucleotide non-coding RNA. The record is from the annotation of a GenBank genome assembly. Lineage: Eukaryota; Metazoa; Chordata; Amphibia; Anura; Pelobatidae.